AUUGAACGCUGGCGGCAUGCUUUACACAUGCAAGUCGAACGGCAGCGCGGGCUUCGGCCUGGCGGCGCGUGGCGAACGGGUGAGUAAUGCAUCGGAACGUGCCCCGUAGUGGGGGAUAGCCCGUCGAAAGCCGGAUUAAUACCGCAUACGACCUGAGGGUGAAAGCGGGGGGCCGAAAGGCCUCGCGCUAUUGGAGCGGCCGAUGUCGGGUUAGCUAGCUGGUGGGGUAAAGGCUUACCAAGGCGACGAUCCGUAGCUGGUCUGAGAGGACGACCAGCCACACGGGGACUGAGACACGGCCCAGACUCCUACGGGAGGCAGCAGUGGGGAAUUUUGGACAAUGGGGGCAACCCUGAUCCAGCCAUGCCGCGUGCGGGAAGAAGGCCUUCGGGUUGUAAACCGCUUUUGUUCGGGAAGAAAUCCUCUGGGCUAAUACCCCGGGGGGAUGACGGUACCGGAAGAAUAAGCACCGGCUAACUACGUG
RNAcentral lists this ribosomal RNA (484 nucleotides) under uncultured bacterium. RNAcentral describes it as "partial 16S ribosomal RNA". It matches the Rfam family "Bacterial small subunit ribosomal RNA", at positions 28 to 507 of the family's 1533-position model. The record is from RNAcentral.